AAAUUGAAGAGUUUGAUCAUGGCUCAGAUUGAACGCUGGCGGCAGGCCUAACACAUGCAAGUCGAGCGGUAGCACAGAGAGCUUGCUCUCGGGUGACGAGCGGCGGACGGGUGAGUAAUGUCUGGGAAACUGCCUGAUGGAGGGGGAUAACUACUGGAAACGGUAGCUAAUACCGCAUAACGUCGCAAGACCAAAGUGGGGGACCUUCGGGCCUCAUGCCAUCAGAUGUGCCCAGAUGGGAUUAGCUGGUAGGUGGGGUAACGGCUCACCUAGGCGACGAUCCCUAGCUGGUCUGAGAGGAUGACCAGCCACACUGGAACUGAGACACGGUCCAGACUCCUACGGGAGGCAGCAGUGGGGAAUAUUGCACAAUGGGCGCAAGCCUGAUGCAGCCAUGCCGCGUGUGUGAAGAAGGCCUUCGGGUUGUAAAGCACUUUCAGCGGGGAGGAAGGCG
RNAcentral lists this ribosomal RNA (454 nucleotides) under Klebsiella variicola. RNAcentral describes it as "bacterial SSU rRNA". It matches the Rfam family "Bacterial small subunit ribosomal RNA", at positions 1 to 453 of the family's 1533-position model. RNAcentral also lists the same sequence under 15 other names. Lineage: Bacteria; Pseudomonadati; Pseudomonadota; Gammaproteobacteria; Enterobacterales; Enterobacteriaceae. The record is from RNAcentral.